Molecule: ribosomal RNA, 467 nt
Filed under: uncultured bacterium
Lineage: Bacteria
Description: partial 16S ribosomal RNA
Rfam family: Bacterial small subunit ribosomal RNA
Source: RNAcentral
ACGCACGCUGGCGGCGUGCUUCACCCAUGCCAGUCGCACGGAAAGGCCCUGCUUUUGUGGGGUGCUCGAGUGGCGAACGGGUGAGUAACACGUGAGUAACCUGUCCUUGACUUUGGGAUAACUUCAGGAAACUGGGGCUAAUACCGGAUAGGAGCUCCUGCUGCAUGGUGGGGGUUGGAAAGUUUCGGCGGUUGGGGAUGGACUCGCGGCUUAUCAGCUUGUUGGUGGGGUAGUGGCUUACCAAGGCUUUGACGGGUAGCCGGCCUGAGAGGGUGACCGGCCACAUUGGGACUGAGAUACGGCCCAGACUCCUACGGGAGGCAGCAGUGGGGAAUAUUGCACAAUGGGCGGAAGCCUGAUGCAGCAACGCCGCGUGCGGGAUGACGGCCUUCGGGUUGUAAACCGCUUUCGCCUGUGACGAAGCGUGAGUGACGGUAAUGGGUAAAGAAGCACCGGCUAACUACGUG